CAUCAGUUGAAAUUGAGCUGCCGAAGACCGCAAAUCCUAGACACAAUGAAGAUUAAAGUCGCAUUCUUUUUGGCAUUCGCAACCAUUGCCUUGGCCAGCGGCUUUCGAACGCCGGAUUGUCCGCAUUGGAGCAAAUGCUGGAAGGAUUAUCAAAGCGGCCGCGUUGUGUACUGAUUGCAAUUCAAAUAUUAAAUAAUGUGUAGUUCUAGAAAUGUCAACAUCAUCAUCAAACUGUGUGUACUCAGCAAUCAUAUAGUGCAUAAAUAGUUAUUAAUUAAAAAUGAUAUGAAACGAUCCCAAUGGAAUGCAAAAAA
Molecule: long non-coding RNA, 314 nt
Organism: Drosophila novamexicana
Lineage: Eukaryota; Metazoa; Arthropoda; Insecta; Diptera; Drosophilidae
Exons: 2
Source: RefSeq, a predicted model, not a curated record